UCCCGGGUGACGCAAUUGGUUAGCGUGUCAGACUUUUACAGCAUAAGUGAAUCUGAAAGUUGCGAGUUCGAGUCUCGCCUCGGGAG
Molecule: transfer RNA, 86 nt
Filed under: Fusarium langsethiae
Lineage: Eukaryota; Fungi; Ascomycota; Sordariomycetes; Hypocreales; Nectriaceae
Rfam family: tRNA
About the family: Transfer RNA (tRNA) molecules are approximately 80 nucleotides in length. Their secondary structure includes four short double-helical elements and three loops (D, anti-codon, and T loops). Further hydrogen bonds mediate the characteristic L-shaped molecular structure. tRNAs have two regions of fundamental functional importance: the anti-codon, which is responsible for specific mRNA codon recognition, and the 3' end, to which the tRNAs corresponding amino acid is attached (by aminoacyl-tRNA synthetases). tRNAs cope with the degeneracy of the genetic code in two manners: having more than one tRNA (with a specific anti-codon) for a particular amino acid; and 'wobble' base-pairing, i.e. permitting non-standard base-pairing at the 3rd anti-codon position.
Source: Rfam by way of RNAcentral